UAUUGUCAAGCCACGAUUUGGCCGCGUA
RNAcentral lists this small RNA (28 nucleotides) under Bombyx mori (domestic silkworm). RNAcentral describes it as "ovarian small RNA-6692". The record is from RNAcentral. Lineage: Eukaryota; Metazoa; Arthropoda; Insecta; Lepidoptera; Bombycidae.